This is a long non-coding RNA of Poeciliopsis prolifica (blackstripe livebearer), 1469 nucleotides long. RefSeq lists it as uncharacterized. The record is from RefSeq and is a predicted model, not a curated record. NCBI's taxonomy places the organism in Eukaryota, Metazoa, Chordata, Actinopteri, Cyprinodontiformes, Poeciliidae. The transcript has 2 exons.
UCCAGGAAGCUCUCAUUCUGCUGCUGCGUGUUGCUUCGCCCUCGUCCGGCUUCAGCCUUACUCUCUCUCUCUGCGUGUGUGUGUCAGAGUUGCCUUACCCUGCCUCCUCUCUCCUCCCCCCCACAUUGAGUCCCCUUUUCCUCCUGCCUCUCGUGAGUGUGCUCUCGGUGCCUCUCUGGUCCUCUUAAUUCUCCUUCUUUUCGCCGUUUCUGCUCUGUCGUCUCCCUUUUUACGCCUCUCCUCGUCUUCUUCAGCAGACAGAUAAAGCAGAGACGGAGACAGCUUCCUGGAGUGCAAAGCAACGGCUGGUCUUUCCAAAUUUCGGCAGCACCGGCAGCAGCAGGCAUGGGAUCAACCUGCCAAAGCACAGCCUUGAAGUUUGGACUUUAAAGCGGACCGCCUGCUUGCUGGGAUGCUGAGCGGGACAGCCCCUCCCUCCCAGCUAAACAAACUGUUAGAUAAUGCCCACCAGGGAACAGUACCGGGGGAUGAGUUGAAAACGCACGCAUGGCCAGUAAAAUGCAAACAAUAAAAGGUCCCUUCACAAAUCCCUGUGUCCAAAUAAACAUGCUUGAAAAACUCAGUGGUUUCUCCCUCCUGUCACAUCUGAUGAGCAAAGAAACUGACUCUGAGCAGGAGGUGAUAAACCUUCUGAACUGAAAAGUCAAUUUUAUGUUCCUCAUGUCAUUCGUUUUAGAAAAUAUCAGUAUAUAUUUCCUGAUUUUACCAAAAGAAGAAUGAAUCUGGAAAAUGGAGUAACAACAAUUCACAGGCUUCAACGGUCAAAUGGCAUGAAGCCACAGCUCCCUGGCAACUAGACAGUUAAAAUGCAAACGAGACAGGCAGCACUUUCUGGAAGGGAGGGGCUUCCUUUUAGGACAGAUGACAGAGUGGAGAGGAAGAGGAGGGGAGGAGGAAGAAGGGGAGUGGAGAGGCAACGAUGGUGAAAGGAAGUGGGUUAUAAAUGAAAAAAAAAAAAAAAAAAAGUCCUUCCCGCCCAGAGAGGUAGAGCUGCUGCAAAUAUACAGGUGUCCGUCUCUAAACACUAUUACCAUGAAAUAGCCUGUAUUAGUGAGGCGGUCCUCUGUCCCAGGGAGGAAGGGUCUAUAACUAACUAACCAUUAUGGAAAUGAGAGCAGAAAGCGAGCAGUGUGCUGACUGGAGCCGACAAGAUGGCAAGUUCAUACCCGCGCUUCGGGGCAUACUCAGAAAUGAUCCAGCAGAGGAAUAUGAUGUUACCCAGUGUUAUCCAGGGCACCAUCAACUGUUAGCUGAAUGGGAACAAGCCUUUUGAUCCAUCAUGGACUGCAGCCAAUGGUGGAUGUUUGAUCUGGUAAAUGGCUCCUUCAGAUUACUGCUUUCACAGUAGUAAGGAAAAAAAAAAAACAUUUAGGGCAGAUAUGGCUGCUAGUAGAGCUGAAUCUUCCUCCUGACGGUGACAUAAGCCAUUAAAUUAACUCAAGACCAAG